Molecule: ribosomal RNA, 1399 nt
Filed under: Enterococcus durans
Lineage: Bacteria; Bacillati; Bacillota; Bacilli; Lactobacillales; Enterococcaceae
Description: bacterial SSU rRNA
Rfam family: Bacterial small subunit ribosomal RNA
Source: RNAcentral
GUCGUACGCUUCUUUUUCACCGGAGCUUGCUCCACCGGAAAAAGAAGAGUGGCGAACGGGUGAGUAACACGUGGGUAACCUGCCCAUCAGAAGGGGAUAACACUUGGAAACAGGUGCUAAUACCGUAUAACAAUCGAAACCGCAUGGUUUUGAUUUGAAAGGCGCUUUCGGGUGUCGCUGAUGGAUGGACCCGCGGUGCAUUAGCUAGUUGGUGAGGUAACGGCUCACCAAGGCUACGAUGCAUAGCCGACCUGAGAGGGUGAUCGGCCACAUUGGGACUGAGACACGGCCCAAACUCCUACGGGAGGCAGCAGUAGGGAAUCUUCGGCAAUGGACGAAAGUCUGACCGAGCAACGCCGCGUGAGUGAAGAAGGUUUUCGGAUCGUAAAACUCUGUUGUUAGAGAAGAACAAGGAUGAGAGUAACUGUUCAUCCCUUGACGGUAUCUAACCAGAAAGCCACGGCUAACUACGUGCCAGCAGCCGCGGUAAUACGUAGGUGGCAAGCGUUGUCCGGAUUUAUUGGGCGUAAAGCGAGCGCAGGCGGUUUCUUAAGUCUGAUGUGAAAGCCCCCGGCUCAACCGGGGAGGGUCAUUGGAAACUGGGAGACUUGAGUGCAGAAGAGGAGAGUGGAAUUCCAUGUGUAGCGGUGAAAUGCGUAGAUAUAUGGAGGAACACCAGUGGCGAAGGCGGCUCUCUGGUCUGUAACUGACGCUGAGGCUCGAAAGCGUGGGGAGCAAACAGGAUUAGAUACCCUGGUAGUCCACGCCGUAAACGAUGAGUGCUAAGUGUUGGAGGGUUUCCGCCCUUCAGUGCUGCAGCUAACGCAUUAAGCACUCCGCCUGGGGAGUACGACCGCAAGGUUGAAACUCAAAGGAAUUGACGGGGGCCCGCACAAGCGGUGGAGCAUGUGGUUUAAUUCGAAGCAACGCGAAGAACCUUACCAGGUCUUGACAUCCUUUGACCACUCUAGAGAUAGAGCUUCCCCUUCGGGGGCAAAGUGACAGGUGGUGCAUGGUUGUCGUCAGCUCGUGUCGUGAGAUGUUGGGUUAAGUCCCGCAACGAGCGCAACCCUUAUUGUUAGUUGCCAUCAUUCAGUUGGGCACUCUAGCAAGACUGCCGGUGACAAACCGGAGGAAGGUGGGGAUGACGUCAAAUCAUCAUGCCCCUUAUGACCUGGGCUACACACGUGCUACAAUGGGAAGUACAACGAGUCGCGAAGUCGCGAGGCUAAGCUAAUCUCUUAAAGCUUCUCUCAGUUCGGAUUGUAGGCUGCAACUCGCCUACAUGAAGCCGGAAUCGCUAGUAAUCGCGGAUCAGCACGCCGCGGUGAAUACGUUCCCGGGCCUUGUACACACCGCCCGUCACACCACGAGAGUUUUAACACCCGAAGUCGGUGAG